This 387-nucleotide ribosomal RNA is filed under the name uncultured bacterium. Its description in RNAcentral is "bacterial SSU rRNA". It matches the Rfam family "Bacterial small subunit ribosomal RNA", at positions 30 to 418 of the family's 1533-position model. The record is from RNAcentral.
AUUGAACGCUGGCGGCAUGCCUUACACAUGCAAGUCGAACGGUAACGGGCCUUCGGGUGCCGACGAGUGGCGAACGGGUGAGUAAUGCAUCGGAACGUACCUUUCAGUGGGGGAUAACGUAGCGAAAGUUACGCUAAUACCGCAUAUUCUGUGAGCAGGAAAGCAGGGGAUCGCAAGACCUUGCGCUGAUUGAGCGGCCGAUGUCAGAUUAGCUAGUUGGUGAGGUAAAGGCUCACCAAGGCGACGAUCUGUAGCGGGUCUGAGAGGAUGAUCCGCCACACUGGAACUGAGACAACGGUCCAGACUCCUACGGGAGGCAGCAGUGGGGAAUUUUGGACAAUGGGGGCAACCCUGAUCCAGCCAUGCCGCGUGAGUGAAGAAGGCCUC